RNAcentral lists this ribosomal RNA (433 nucleotides) under uncultured bacterium. Its description in RNAcentral is "partial 16S ribosomal RNA". It matches the Rfam family "Bacterial small subunit ribosomal RNA", at positions 29 to 507 of the family's 1533-position model. The record is from RNAcentral.
AACGAACGCUGGCGGCAUGCCUAACACAUGCAAGUCGAACGAGACCUUCGGGCCUAGUGGCGCACGGGUGCGUAACGCGUGGGAAUCUGCCCUUGGGUUCGGAAUAACAGUUGGAAACGACUGCUAAUACCGGAUGAUGACGUAAGUCCAAAGAUUUAUGGCGCAAGGAUGAGCCCGCGUAGGAUUAGCUAGUUGGUGAGGUAAAGGCUCACCAAGGCGACGAUCCUUAGCUGGUCUGAGAGCAUGAUACGCCACACUGGGACUGAGACACGGCCCAGAAUCCGACGCAGGGGAGCAGUAGAGAAUACUAGGCGAGGAGCGAAAGCCUGAUACAGCAGUGUCGGGUGAGUGAUGAAGGGGUUAGGGUUGUAAAGCUCUUUUACCCGAAGUGAGAGUGACGGUACCGGGUGAAUAAGCUCCGGCUAACUACGUG